UCCCUGGAGGACUAGUGGUUAGGCCACGAUGCUCUCACCACUGCAGCCCGGGUUCAAUUCCCGGCCAGGGAA
RNAcentral lists this transfer RNA (72 nucleotides) under Pangasius djambal. RNAcentral describes it as "tRNA-Glu". It matches the Rfam family "tRNA". Rfam says of the family: Transfer RNA (tRNA) molecules are approximately 80 nucleotides in length. Their secondary structure includes four short double-helical elements and three loops (D, anti-codon, and T loops). The record is from RNAcentral. Lineage: Eukaryota; Metazoa; Chordata; Actinopteri; Siluriformes; Pangasiidae.